Molecule: ribosomal RNA, 460 nt
Filed under: uncultured bacterium
Lineage: Bacteria
Description: partial 16S ribosomal RNA
Rfam family: Bacterial small subunit ribosomal RNA
Source: RNAcentral
CCUACGGGGGGCAGCAGUGAGGAAUAUUGGUCAAUGGGCGGAAGCCUGAACCAGCCAAGUAGCGUGCAGGAUGACGGCCCUACGGGUUGUAAACUGCUUUUAUACGGGAAUAACGCGCCUUACGUGUAGGGCUUUGCAUGUACCGUAUGAAUAAGGACCGGCUAAUUCCGUGCCAGCAGCCGCGGUAAUACGGAAGGUCCGGGCGUUAUCCGGAUUUAUUGGGUUUAAAGGGAGCGUAGGCCGCAUGUCAAGCGUGCUGUGAAAUGUCCGGGCUCAACCCGGGCCUUGCAGCGCGAACUGGCGUGCUUGAGUCCGCGGAAAGCAGGCGGAAUUCGUCGUGUAGCGGUGGAAUGCUUAGAUAUGACGAAGAACCCCGAUUGCGAAGGCAGCUUGCUGCAGCGGAACUGACGCUGAUGCUCGAAAGCGCGGGUAUCGAACAGGAUUAGAUACCCCUGUAGUC